Molecule: unclassified non-coding RNA, 353 nt
Filed under: fungal sp.
Lineage: Eukaryota; Fungi
Description: partial internal transcribed spacer region
Rfam family: Eukaryotic small subunit ribosomal RNA (bases 1-46)
Source: RNAcentral
AAGUCGUAACAAGGUCUCCGUAGGUGAACCUGCGGAGGGAUCAUUAACACGUUUCCAAACGUUACCAACCAAACGCGAACUUAUGAAAAAAAAACCCGACCUGGAAGAAAAGUAAUCGUUUAGUUCUAUUAGUGAUGGGCUCUUUCACGGAGCGAUAGAAUUGAACUUACAUAGCUCGACUAUGAAGAUGACUUUUCUCUCAGGUUUAACUCCAUUCUUUCCAUCACAGGAAUAAACAAACCCCUUUCACCCCCUAUGAUAAUUGACUGAAAUACCAUUUGACUGGGAGAAAUCCUGUUAAAUGAUUAAAAAAACUAAAAGCACAACUCUUAGCAACGGAUAUCUAGGUUCUC